This 373-nucleotide ribosomal RNA is filed under the name uncultured bacterium. RNAcentral's name for it is "bacterial SSU rRNA". It matches the Rfam family "Bacterial small subunit ribosomal RNA", at positions 524 to 898 of the family's 1533-position model. The record is from RNAcentral.
UACGGAGGGUGCAAGCGUUAUCCGGAUUCACUGGGUUUAAAGGGUGCGUAGGCGGCUUUAUAAGUCAUUGGUGAAAGCUCGCAGCUUAACUGCGAAACUGCCAUUGAAACUGUAAAGCUUGAAUGUGGUUGAAGUGGGCGGAAUACAACAUGUAGCGGUGAAAUGCUUAGAUAUGUUUUAGAACACCGAUUGCGAAGGCAGCUCACUAAGCCAAUAUUGACGCUGAGGCACGAAAGCGUGGGUAGCAAACAGGAUUAGAUACCCUGGUAGUCCACGCCCUAAACGAUGAAUACUCGAUGUGUGCUCCUUGUGGGUACGCGUCCAAGCAAAAGCGUUAAGUAUUCCACCUGGGAAGUACGGCCGCAAGGUUAAA